UAAAAUCUUCCUCUGCCUCUCUUUUAGAAGGACCCUUGUGAUUACAUUUAAGAUCCAUCUGAAUAAUCCGGGAUAAUCUCCCCACUCAAGGGCUUUCAGUCACACCAGCAAAGUCCGUUUUGCCAUGUAGGGUAAUAUUCACAGGUUCCAGGGGUUAGGACCUGGCUGUCUUUGGGGGCCAUCAUUCAGCCCACCCAGUCAGUAACCUGUGAAAUGCACGUGGCCCCAUCAGCUCAUGGUUCGGGGUUGGCUGGUCUUGAGGAAGACAUCAGGCUGAAGGAAGUCUUCUGGAGGUGGCCUUUUCAAUCCUUCCAGCUACCAGUCAGUCCACAAGCACUUAUGGGACACCAGACCUUGCCUGGAGCAGCCUUGGGGAAUCAAAUAGGAGCCAGUCCCUGCCCUCCAGAAACUGUGUGUCUGGGGGAGAAGAUCACACACAGGAAAAUCAAGUGGUGACAAGAGGUGCCAUGAGACAGUAUAUAGUUCAUUUCCCCACCGCAAGAGUAAAGGGCUUAGGGUCAGAGGCUUUGGUGCCUGAGUUCUGACUCUGCCAAUUAUUAGCAUUGGGACCUCAGACUCAGCUGGCAGAGAGGAGAAGCAGCGGGACAUCAGGACUAUGGCUGGACGUCAGAGAGAAGCAGCUUAACUUCAGAGGUGCAGCUUGAUGGUGUAACUUAGGAGAAGAAUCUGACUGGAGACGGCCAGACUUCAGAAGAAGAUGACCUACCCCCCCAUCCCCUUUUCAGCUUCCCUUCCCGCUGAGAGCCACUUUUAUUGGCAAUAAAAUCCUCCACAUUUACCACCUUUCAAUGUGUUCAUGUGACUUCAUUAUUCCUGGACACCGGACAAGAGCUCAGGGGCCACAGGUGUGGAUAUGAAA
RNAcentral lists this long non-coding RNA (880 nucleotides) under Homo sapiens (human). RNAcentral describes it as "HSALNT0032497". The record is from RNAcentral. Lineage: Eukaryota; Metazoa; Chordata; Mammalia; Primates; Hominidae.